CCUACGGAGGCUGCAGUGAGGAAUAUUGGUCAAUGGGCGGGAACCUGAACCAGCCAAGUCGCGUGAGGGACGACGGUCCUAUGGAUUGUAAACCUCUUUUGUCGGGGAACAAAGGCGCCCACGGGUGGGCGGAUGAGUGUACCCGAAGAAAAAGCAUCGGCUAACUCCGUGCCAGCAGCCGCGGUAAUACGGAGGAUGCGAGCGUUAUCCGGAUUUAUUGGGGUUAAAGGGUGCGUAGGCGGACAGUCAAGUCAGCGGUAAAAAUGCGGUGCUCAACGCCGUACAGCCGUUGAAACUGGCAGUCUUGAGUAGGCGAGAAGUAUGCGGAAUGCGUGGUGUAGCGGUGAAAUGCAUAGAUAUCACGCAGAACUCCGAUUGCGAAGGCAGCAUACCGGCGCCCUACUGACGCUGAGGCACGAAAGCGUGGGUAUCGAACAGGAUUAGAUACCCGAGUAGUC
This 458-nucleotide ribosomal RNA is filed under the name uncultured bacterium. RNAcentral's name for it is "partial 16S ribosomal RNA". It matches the Rfam family "Bacterial small subunit ribosomal RNA", at positions 338 to 795 of the family's 1533-position model. The record is from RNAcentral.